CAGUUAACUGAUUAUUAAUAUAUAUGUGUAUUUGUUUAAUGGAUGGUGGGAAGGAGUUGUCACUCAUAUAGAAUUGGGGAGAGAAACACAAGGAUAAUAAUCAUGAAUGGAUCAAUGAGGCUGCCAAGAACAAAUAUGAGAAGAUGGAGGCUGAGAGGAAUGCCCUUUUAGAGAAGUUGUACCAAGAGGCACCCGAGGGUACUGCACAUGAUUCUAUCAAACUGACUUUGGAAGCUGAGUACCCAAUAAUGGCUAAGGAGCUUGGGAGGAAGGGUAGGAUGAUCCAUGGCAUUGGUAACGUCCCUCACAUACGUUCUAACAUACGCAGAGUAUCUGCAUGGGGUGGCAACAAUUCUGAGGUAGCUGAAUUGCAUGAUCUUAUCGACCAACUUACCUUUAACAUGCUCAGUAUAAAGGAACAAAAUGGACUAUUAAAGGCUCAAGUGAAAUGUUUAUUGAGGCAAUCUCCUGGGCAGAUGAAUGAGGAUGACUUCCCCCAUCCUAGCACCAACUUCUAAGACUUUGCUUGAGUAGUUUGGGUGAGCAUUUGCUAGACUUUUGGUCUGAUGUCCCUUUUUGUGCAGUUAUAGCUUUUUACCUUGA
Rosa rugosa (rugosa rose) is the source of this 603-nucleotide long non-coding RNA. RefSeq lists it as uncharacterized. The record is from RefSeq and is a predicted model, not a curated record. The transcript has 2 exons. NCBI's taxonomy places the organism in Eukaryota, Viridiplantae, Streptophyta, Magnoliopsida, Rosales, Rosaceae.